RNAcentral lists this small RNA (939 nucleotides) under Pan troglodytes (chimpanzee). RNAcentral's name for it is "retained intron". Lineage: Eukaryota; Metazoa; Chordata; Mammalia; Primates; Hominidae. The record is from RNAcentral.
GCCAGGCCGUGUUCCGUGUCUCUGGAUUCAAGUCCCAGGAGUCCUGACCAGAGAGCAGGCAUCAGUGUUUUUCUGACCGAAGUUCUCAUUUCCUGACAAUGGAAAUGGAACAAGAAAAAAUGACCAUGAAUAAGGAAUUGAGUCCAGACGCGGCUGCUUACUGCUGCUCGGCCUGCCACGGCGACGAGACCUGGAGUUACAACCACCCCAUCCGGGGCCGGGCCAAGUCUCGCAGCCUGUCUGCCUCGCCCGCCCUGGGGAGCACCAAGGAGUUCAGGAGGACACGCUCUCUUCAUGGGCCAUGCCCGGUGACCACUUUUGGACCAAAGGCCUGUGUGCUGCAGAACCCCCAGACCAUCAUGCACAUUCAGGACCCCGCGAGCCAGCGGCUGACGUGGAACAAGUCCCCAAAGAGCGUCCUUGUCAUCAAGAAGAUGAGAGAUGCCAGCCUACUGCAGCCGUUCAAGGAGCUCUGCACGCACCUCAUGGAGGAGAACAACAUGAUCGUGUAUGUGGAAAAGAAAGUGCUAGAAGACCCUGCCAUCGCCAGCGAUGAAAGCUUUGGGGCAGUGAAGAAGAAAUUCUGUACCUUUCGAGAAGAUUAUGAUGACAUUUCCAAUCAGAUAGACUUCAUCAUCUGCCUGGGGGGAGACGGGACGCUGCUGUACGCUUCCUCGCUUUUCCAGGUGAAGCGCUGACAUUUCCAGACCCACACCAGGUUCUAGUCUAGGUGCUGUGUAACGAGGGGCUCACAAGCGUGGCUUCCAUUACUUUUCACCCCUUUAUACGAGAGCAGUCACCUAGAGCGGCCAGCACUGAGGCCCAUGGUGGCAGCCCGGUGGGGUGCAAUGGUGGGCCAGGGGCAGUGUGGACACAGUGCUACGGCUGGGGGUGGCCAGAGCCCGCCUGGGACAGCAGGGAGUGGCGCAGGGCGGUGGG